Mya arenaria is the source of this 81-nucleotide small nucleolar RNA. RefSeq annotates it as small nucleolar RNA SNORD35. Lineage: Eukaryota; Metazoa; Mollusca; Bivalvia; Myida; Myidae. The record is from RefSeq and is a predicted model, not a curated record. The transcript has a single exon.
CACAGAUGAUGUUUUUCACGAUGGUCUUCAUAGUGGUUGUACAAUGUUGAAAAAGCCUAUUGGCAUUGCUGAUGUGAUCAU